GGAGAAGGAAAUUUUCCAUGUAACUACUGGACAAGUACAGCACAGGCAGCAGAACUUCCCCACACUGCCACAGCAAAGUGCCUUAGCCCUGUUCUGGAGGGAUUACCAGUAUGUGUGAAAGUUUAAUAUAGCCGCUCUUCUACGAUGAAGAC
This 152-nucleotide small RNA is filed under the name Chelonoidis abingdonii (Abingdon island giant tortoise). Its description in RNAcentral is "TUC338 (ENSCABG00000020787.1)". Lineage: Eukaryota; Metazoa; Chordata; Testudines; Testudinidae. The record is from RNAcentral.